RNAcentral lists this ribosomal RNA (359 nucleotides) under uncultured eukaryote. RNAcentral's name for it is "partial 18S ribosomal RNA". It matches the Rfam family "Eukaryotic small subunit ribosomal RNA", at positions 592 to 976 of the family's 1831-position model. The record is from RNAcentral.
CAAUAGCGUAUAUUAAAGUUGUUGCAGUUAAAAAGCUCGUAGUUGAAGUUUGGGCCUGGGCGGGCGGUCUACCUAUGGUGAGUACUGCUGCGGCCGGGUCUUUCCUUCUGGCUAGCCCUCGGGCGAACCAGGACGAUUACUUUGAGGAAAUUAGAGUGUUCAAAGCAGGCCUUUGCUCGGAUAUAUUAGCAUGGAAUAAUAGAAUAGGACGCAUGGUUCUAUUUUGUUGGUUUCUAGGACCAUCGUAAUGAUUAAUAGGGACGGUCGGGGGCAUCAGUAUUCAGUUGUCAGAGGUGAAAUUCUUGGAUUAACUGAAGACUAACUACUGCGAAAGCAUUUGCCAAGGACGUUUUCAUUAA